UUCUAUUGCAUUAAGUUGCUUUUUUCAUAAUGAAAUCGUUCACGUUAUUUACUUGUUGCUUUGUUAUUUCAGGUUAUGGUUGAUGCAUUUAUCGAUGAGGGUGAUGUCUCAAAGAGACAAGGACAUGCUUUGCUUCUUCUCUGUGCUAAGGUGUAAGGAGAAGGAUCCUACAAUGGCUCAAUGAUGGCUUUGACUAAUAGUUGUCACUCGAAUUCAUGUUACUCUUCUAAGGUGUUUUAGAAGCUAAUAAUUAUGAUCGGAUCAUUGCAAUAUCUUCUCCUGGGUGGCUGGAGAAGAAGAGUUACCCCGAGAUGUUUCUUGCCGGUUUUGCUAACAGGGGUGGAAAUAUGGAAAUUUCUACAACAUUCAUAUGUUUGUUCACUCUACACUACAUGGUUACUUCAGGAAGGCUUCAGAUAGAUAAAAGGCAUGAUUGACGAUCUAAAAGACAGUGAGAAAAUUUCUGAAUCCAACAGAAGUGUUACUAGUUGUUGUUGCCAUGAC
Camelina sativa (false flax) is the source of this 504-nucleotide non-coding RNA. The record is from RefSeq and is a predicted model, not a curated record. Lineage: Eukaryota; Viridiplantae; Streptophyta; Magnoliopsida; Brassicales; Brassicaceae.